CAGGAUUCCCUCAGUAAC
Molecule: non-coding RNA, 18 nt
Filed under: Cervus elaphus (red deer)
Lineage: Eukaryota; Metazoa; Chordata; Mammalia; Artiodactyla; Cervidae
Also listed under: 1 other name
Source: RNAcentral